RNAcentral lists this ribosomal RNA (109 nucleotides) under uncultured Leifsonia sp. RNAcentral describes it as "partial 23S ribosomal RNA". It matches the Rfam family "Bacterial large subunit ribosomal RNA", at positions 1 to 109 of the family's 2925-position model. Lineage: Bacteria; Bacillati; Actinomycetota; Actinomycetes; Micrococcales; Microbacteriaceae. The record is from RNAcentral.
UUCAAAUUUCUAAGAGCAAACGGUGGAUGCCUUGGCAUCUGGAGCCGAANAAGGACGUAGUAAUCUGCGAUAAGCCUCGGGGAGCUGAUAAACGAGCUUUGAUCCGAGG